RNAcentral lists this ribosomal RNA (425 nucleotides) under uncultured bacterium. RNAcentral describes it as "bacterial SSU rRNA". It matches the Rfam family "Bacterial small subunit ribosomal RNA", at positions 506 to 929 of the family's 1533-position model. The record is from RNAcentral.
UGCCAGCAGCCGCGGUAAUACAGAGGUCCCAAGCGUUGUUCGGAUUCACUGGGCGUAAAGGGUGCGUAGGUGGCGAGGUAAGUUGAAUGUUAAAUCUUGGGGCUCAACCCCAAAACUGCAUUCAAUACUGCUUUGCUAGAGGAUUGUAGAGGAGACUGGAAUUCACGGUGUAGCAGUGAAAUGCGUAGAUAUCGUGAGGAAGGCCAGUGGCGAAAGCGAGUCUCUGGGCAAUUCCUGACACUGAGGCACGAAGGCCAGGGGAGCAAACGGGAUUAGAUACCCCGGUAGUCCUGGCAGUAAACGGUGCACGUUUGGUGUGGGAGGAUUCGACCCCUUCCGUGCCGUAGUUAACACGAUAAACGUGCCGCCUGAGGAGUACGGUCGCAAGAUUAAAACUCAAAGGAAUUGACGGGGGCCCGCACAAG